This 497-nucleotide ribosomal RNA is filed under the name uncultured bacterium. RNAcentral's name for it is "partial 16S ribosomal RNA". It matches the Rfam family "Bacterial small subunit ribosomal RNA", at positions 28 to 507 of the family's 1533-position model. The record is from RNAcentral.
GAUGAACGCUGGCGGCGUGCCUAAUACAUGCAAGUCGAGCGAACGGACGAGAAGCUCGCUUCUCUGAUGUUAGCGGCGGACGGGUGAGUAACACGUGGAUAACCUACCUAUAAGACUGGGAUAACUUCGGGAAACCGGAGCUAAUACCGGAUAAUAUUUUGAACCGCAUGGUUCAAAAGUGAAAGACGGUCUUGCUGUCACUUAUAGAUGGAUCCGCGCUGCAUUAGCUAGUUGGUAAGGUAACGGCUUACCAAGGCAACGAUGCAUAGCCGACCUGAGAGGGUGAUCGGCCACACUGGAACUGAGACACGGUCCAGACUCCUACGGGAGGCAGCAGUAGGGAAUCUUCCGCAAUGGGCGAAAGCCUGACGGAGCAACGCCGCGUGAGUGAUGAAGGUCUUCGGAUCGUAAAACUCUGUUAUUAGGGAAGAACAUAUGUGUAAGUAACUGUGCACAUCUUGACGGUACCUAAUCAGAAAGCUACGGCUAACUACGUG